Long non-coding RNA from Wasmannia auropunctata (little fire ant), 991 nucleotides. RefSeq lists it as uncharacterized. The transcript has 2 exons. NCBI's taxonomy places the organism in Eukaryota, Metazoa, Arthropoda, Insecta, Hymenoptera, Formicidae. The record is from RefSeq and is a predicted model, not a curated record.
CGAAUUCACCGCGGUUGGAUCGACGUCUUCGCGAGAAGGCCUCGAGCCGCAUGCGGUCGACCUUGACGAUCGAAGAUGAUCUUUUCUCUCUCGUAUAUGCUGCCACUGCCGCGUUGGUUUUAACCGUGCGCUCACGCAGGCGCUGGGAGGAAAAGUUUCCUCGCAGGACGUCGAUUAAACUGCUGCGAGCUACCGGACACCGUCGGUGUGGAUGGUGUGGAUGCACGGUGCAUCCUGCGGCGCGCAGGGUAUGAUUUCAUCUUCGUGUGCUUUAUUCUGCGCUGGCCACUCUUCCCGCUGAUGUAUGAAAAGUUUAUUUAUGGGGGACGUGCCUCGUUCGAUCACGCAAGAGCCGCAUGACGGCAGUAACAUAGCACCACGUAGCGAUGCAGAGAGACACAAUAUAUGCCAACGAAGGUGACGCUACAGAAUGACGAGGACUUGCUUGCUGCCGAUGGUCCCUCGCACUUUACGCCUGGUUCCUGCCGGGAUUAGAUGCCGUGUGGAGAAACAAAGAAAGAAGUAGGGACAAUGUCGAGGGUCGGAGAAAAAGAGACGAAGAAGUACUUGAGGCAGCGUGGGCAGCCGCUAGCGCUGCAUUCCUGUAGGAUCAAGGAUCCCUACUUGCCUCGUGUGUGCAUUUACAUAUGCGGACACACGUGUGAGGAGCUUUGACUUGCGAGACGGACGCGUGUUUACGCACAUGCACCACCGCCAACUACAGACGUAAACGUAUCACUCAUACACGUAUGGUGACAUAAAGCUCUUCGCCUCUCACAUCGCCCGAUCGUCCGUAUCACAUACGUAUUUUUUUCAUCGCGCGCGCGUUCCAUAUGCGCGCAGGAACAAAGGGCACAGACUCCAGUGUGUGUGAAUACCGAAAUAAUGAUCUCGCGAGAGUCGAUGAAUUUGCGAAGUAAGACAAGUUACGCGACGGCUUUUCUCUUUUCUUCUCUUCUUUUUUUUUAAUAAUAAAUAACUUGGCACGCGA